ACUGUAGCUCAGGUGGUUAGAGCGUUCGACUGAUAAUCGAGAGGUCCCAGGUUCGAGUCCUGGCAGUC
This 68-nucleotide transfer RNA is filed under the name marine eukaryotic metagenome. It matches the Rfam family "tRNA". From Rfam's summary of the family: Transfer RNA (tRNA) molecules are approximately 80 nucleotides in length. Their secondary structure includes four short double-helical elements and three loops (D, anti-codon, and T loops). Further hydrogen bonds mediate the characteristic L-shaped molecular structure. tRNAs have two regions of fundamental functional importance: the anti-codon, which is responsible for specific mRNA codon recognition, and the 3' end, to which the tRNAs corresponding amino acid is attached (by aminoacyl-tRNA synthetases). tRNAs cope with the degeneracy of the genetic code in two manners: having more than one tRNA (with a specific anti-codon) for a particular amino acid; and 'wobble' base-pairing, i.e. permitting non-standard base-pairing at the 3rd anti-codon position. The record is from RNAcentral.